Molecule: ribosomal RNA, 2921 nt
Filed under: Klebsiella pneumoniae
Lineage: Bacteria; Pseudomonadati; Pseudomonadota; Gammaproteobacteria; Enterobacterales; Enterobacteriaceae
Description: bacterial LSU rRNA
Rfam family: Bacterial large subunit ribosomal RNA
Source: RNAcentral
GUUGUGAGGUUAAGCGACUAAGCGUACACGGUGGAUGCCCUGGCAGUCAGAGGCGAUGAAGGACGUGCUAAUCUGCGAAAAGCGUCGGUAAGGUGAUAUGAACCGUUAUAACCGGCGAUGUCCGAAUGGGGAAACCCAGUGCAAUUCGUUGCACUAUCGUUAACUGAAUACAUAGGUUAACGAGGCGAACCGGGGGAACUGAAACAUCUAAGUACCCCGAGGAAAAGAAAUCAACCGAGAUUCCCCCAGUAGCGGCGAGCGAACGGGGAGCAGCCCAGAGUCUGAAUCAGCUUGUGUGUUAGUGGAACGGUCUGGAAAGUCCGACGGUACAGGGUGAUAGUCCCGUACACCAAAAUGCACAGGUUGUGAACUCGAAGAGUAGGGCGGGACACGUGGUAUCCUGUCUGAAUAUGGGGGGACCAUCCUCCAAGGCUAAAUACUCCUGACUGACCGAUAGUGAACCAGUACCGUGAGGGAAAGGCGAAAAGAACCCCGGCGAGGGGAGUGAAAAAGAACCUGAAACCGUGUACGUACAAGCAGUGGGAGCACCUUCGGGUGUGACUGCGUACCUUUUGUAUAAUGGGUCAGCGACUUAUAUUCUGUAGCAAGGUUAACCGUAUAGGGGAGCCGCAGGGAAACCGAGUCUUAACUGGGCGUUAAGUUGCAGGGUAUAGACCCGAAACCCGGUGAUCUAGCCAUGGGCAGGUUGAAGGUUGGGUAACACUAACUGGAGGACCGAACCGACUAAUGUUGAAAAAUUAGCGGAUGACUUGUGGCUGGGGGUGAAAGGCCAAUCAAACCGGGAGAUAGCUGGUUCUCCCCGAAAGCUAUUUAGGUAGCGCCUCGUGAACUCAUCUUCGGGGGUAGAGCACUGUUUCGGCUAGGGGGUCAUCCCGACUUACCAACCCGAUGCAAACUACGAAUACCGAAGAAUGUUAUCACGGGAGACACACGGCGGGUGCUAACGUCCGUCGUGAAGAGGGAAACAACCCAGACCGCCAGCUAAGGUCCCAAAGUCAUGGUUAAGUGGGAAACGAUGUGGGAAGGCACAGACAGCCAGGAUGUUGGCUUAGAAGCAGCCAUCAUUUAAAGAAAGCGUAAUAGCUCACUGGUCGAGUCGGCCUGCGCGGAAGAUGUAACGGGGCUAAACCAUGCACCGAAGCUGCGGCAGCGACACUAUGUGUUGUUGGGUAGGGGAGCGUUCUGUAAGCCUGCGAAGGUGUGCUGUGAGGCAUGCUGGAGGUAUCAGAAGUGCGAAUGCUGACAUAAGUAACGAUAAAGCGGGUGAAAAGCCCGCUCGCCGGAAGACCAAGGGUUCCUGUCCAACGUUAAUCGGGGCAGGGUGAGUCGACCCCUAAGGCGAGGCCGAAAGGCGUAGUCGAUGGGAAACAGGUUAAUAUUCCUGUACUUGGUGUUACUGCGAAGGGGGGACGGAGAAGGCUAUGUUAGCCGGGCGACGGUUGUCCCGGUUUAAGCAUGUAGGCUGAUUGUCCAGGCAAAUCCGGAUAAUCAAGGCUGAGGUGUGAUGACGAGGCACUACGGUGCUGAAGUAACAAAUGCCCUGCUUCCAGGAAAAGCCUCUAAGCAUCAGGUAACAUCAAAUCGUACCCCAAACCGACACAGGUGGUCAGGUAGAGAAUACCAAGGCGCUUGAGAGAACUCGGGUGAAGGAACUAGGCAAAAUGGUGCCGUAACUUCGGGAGAAGGCACGCUGGUGUGUAGGUGAAGCCCCUGCGGGUGGAGCUGAGACCAGUCGAAGAUACCAGCUGGCUGCAACUGUUUAUUAAAAACACAGCACUGUGCAAACACGAAAGUGGACGUAUACGGUGUGACGCCUGCCCGGUGCCGGAAGGUUAAUUGAUGGGGUUAUCCGUAAGGAGAAGCUCUUGAUCGAAGCCCCGGUAAACGGCGGCCGUAACUAUAACGGUCCUAAGGUAGCGAAAUUCCUUGUCGGGUAAGUUCCGACCUGCACGAAUGGCGUAAUGAUGGCCAGGCUGUCUCCACCCGAGACUCAGUGAAAUUGAACUCGCUGUGAAGAUGCAGUGUACCCGCGGCAAGACGGAAAGACCCCGUGAACCUUUACUAUAGCUUGACACUGAACAUUGAGCCUUGAUGUGUAGGAUAGGUGGGAGGCUUUGAAGCGUGGACGCCAGUCUGCGUGGAGCCAACCUUGAAAUACCACCCUUUAAUGUUUGAUGUUCUAACGUUGGCCCCUUACCGGGGUUGCGGACAGUGUCUGGUGGGUAGUUUGACUGGGGCGGUCUCCUCCCAAAGCGUAACGGAGGAGCACGAAGGUUAGCUAAUCCUGGUCGGACAUCAGGAGGUUAGUGCAAUGGCAUAAGCUAGCUUGACUGCGAGCGUGACGGCGCGAGCAGGUGCGAAAGCAGGUCAUAGUGAUCCGGUGGUUCUGAAUGGAAGGGCCAUCGCUCAACGGAUAAAAGGUACUCCGGGGAUAACAGGCUGAUACCGCCCAAGAGUUCAUAUCGACGGCGGUGUUUGGCACCUCGAUGUCGGCUCAUCACAUCCUGGGGCUGAAGUAGGUCCCAAGGGUAUGGCUGUUCGCCAUUUAAAGUGGUACGCGAGCUGGGUUUAGAACGUCGUGAGACAGUUCGGUCCCUAUCUGCCGUGGGCGCUGGAGAAUUGAGGGGGGCUGCUCCUAGUACGAGAGGACCGGAGUGGACGCAUCACUGGUGUUCGGGUUGUCAUGCCAAUGGCACUGCCCGGUAGCUAAAUGCGGAAGAGAUAAGUGCUGAAAGCAUCUAAGCACGAAACUUGCCCCGAGAUGAGUUCUCCCUGAGACUUUAAGUCUCCUGAAGGAACGUUGAAGACGACGACGUUGAUAGGCCGGGUGUGUAAGCGCAGCGAUGCGUUGAGCUAACCGGUACUAAUGAACCGUGAGGCUUAACCUUACAACGCCGAAG